AGGAAACUGGAGGAAGAGCAUCAAUAGCUGGUGAAGGAAACAAAGCGUUCUUAAAAAGCCUAAAAUCAUAGAUUCUGGUAUUUGGCCAAAAGAGAGCUUCACAUUUUUGGCUUCAGUCCUUUGAAAGCAGACAUCAUCAUCAUCUAUAGCAUGAAGUAUUACUGCAUGAGCCCCUCUGACCACACACUGAUGUCAAAGCACAGCAGAAUGUGUAAAAUCAUAUGCAUUGUAUUCUCCAUGGAUUGUUUGAUCUGUUUUAUAUCUGCUAAGUUUCCCAACAUUGACAGAAAUGAAAAAAUAAUAAUAAUGAACUAUCACUUAUACUUCUGUUUUGUAAUUCGCUGAACUUCCUGUGAACUGUAGUGAGGGAAACUGGAUGACAACAAGAAAAGAUGUCUGAUGGACAGUGCUGGUUUAAUGUUAAGUAAAAGUUUUGCUUCUUGAUGAUGGCUGCUCUCUGUAAACUUCAUCCUCUUCUUGCUCCACUGCUCAUGUCAUCCUCUUUACUUACACCAACAUUAAUAAAUAUGAAUACUUAAUAA
This is a long non-coding RNA of Oreochromis aureus, 542 nucleotides long. RefSeq lists it as uncharacterized. NCBI's taxonomy places the organism in Eukaryota, Metazoa, Chordata, Actinopteri, Cichliformes, Cichlidae. The record is from RefSeq and is a predicted model, not a curated record. The transcript is spliced from 2 exons.